GUGCCCGUAGCUCAGCUGGAUAGAGUGUCUGACUACGAAUCAGAAGGUCGGGGGUUCGAGUCCCUCCGGGCACG
RNAcentral lists this transfer RNA (74 nucleotides) under Caldicoprobacter faecalis. RNAcentral's name for it is "Acetomicrobium faecale tRNA". It matches the Rfam family "tRNA". Rfam says of the family: Transfer RNA (tRNA) molecules are approximately 80 nucleotides in length. Their secondary structure includes four short double-helical elements and three loops (D, anti-codon, and T loops). The record is from Rfam by way of RNAcentral. Lineage: Bacteria; Bacillati; Bacillota; Clostridia; Caldicoprobacterales; Caldicoprobacteraceae.